CACACCGCCCGUCGCACCAUGGGAGUCAGUUGCUCCAGAAGUGGCCUAGCUAACCGCAAGGAGGCAGGUCCCUAAGGAGUGACUGGUAACUGGGGUG
RNAcentral lists this ribosomal RNA (97 nucleotides) under uncultured bacterium. RNAcentral's name for it is "partial 16S ribosomal RNA". It matches the Rfam family "Bacterial small subunit ribosomal RNA", at positions 1386 to 1482 of the family's 1533-position model. The record is from RNAcentral.